GUGGGGAAUAUUGGACAAUGGGCGAAAGCCUGAUCCAGCCAUGCCGCGUGAGUGAUGAAGGCCCUAGGGUUGUAAAGCUCUUUCACCGGUGAAGAUAAUGACGGUAACCGGAGAAGAAGCCCCGGCUAACUUCGUGCCAGCAGCCGCGGUAAUACGAAGGGGGCUAGCGUUGUUCGGAAUUACUGGGCGUAAAGCGCACGUAGGCGGACUAUUAAGUCAGGGGUGAAAUCCCGGGGCUCAACCCCGGAACUGCCUUUGAUACUGGUAGUCUCGAGUCCGGAAGAGGUGAGUGGAAUUCCGAGUGUAGAGGUGAAAUUCGUAGAUAUUCGGAGGAACACCAGUGGCGAAGGCGGCUCACUGGUCCGGUACUGACGCUGAGGUGCGAAAGCGUGGGGAGCAAACAGGAUUAGAAACCCUGGUAGUCC
RNAcentral lists this ribosomal RNA (425 nucleotides) under uncultured bacterium. RNAcentral's name for it is "partial 16S ribosomal RNA". It matches the Rfam family "Bacterial small subunit ribosomal RNA", at positions 354 to 796 of the family's 1533-position model. The record is from RNAcentral.